This 1477-nucleotide long non-coding RNA is filed under the name Mus musculus (house mouse). RNAcentral's name for it is "predicted gene 15398". Lineage: Eukaryota; Metazoa; Chordata; Mammalia; Rodentia; Muridae. The record is from RNAcentral.
UGUGGAUGGGCCUGGUGUUGUUCUCGUGAACCAAUCACUAAUGAAUAAAGGAGCCAAUCACUGGACGAGUAGGAGGGACUUGUGAACCAAUCACUAAUGAAUAAAGGAGCCAAUCACUGGACGAGUAGGAGGGACUUCCGGGUUGGAUGGAGGAACUGAGGAAGCAGGAGAGAGUUAGGUCCUUUUGGACAGGAUUAGCAUGAGGACAAGAAGUAGCUACGAGUUUCUCCCGAUUUCAAAACCACAUCCUUCAGGAUUCAACACCUGAGUAUUUAGAUUUAAUAAAGCUUACAGUAAGAUUAGGCUUUUAGUUGCUACACCCAGCAAUUGAGUUACCAUCAUUUCUGAACUAAGUUUGGAUUGUGUUUUUCUUCACACGACGGCUGGUCCAGGUUCAAGAGAGAAAGUCGCAGGACUGUGCAAAGACAAGUGGAUCCCUGGACACCAUGUCUCAAAAAACAAGUUCUGGGAGAUUCCUAUGAAGGAUCGAAGGACACCACAGAAGCCUCAACACAGAGAUGCUGACAUUCAACAACAUGGCCCCUAAUCUUGCUCUGGAGGACUGAAAAUGCCUGGAUUCCUGGCGAAAUUUGUAUGAUGAUGGGAUACUUGAAAGCUGUAGAAAUAUUGUCUUUCUGGUUUGCUCCCUGGAGAGAAAUGACUGAAUGAAGAAAUGGUAAAACAGAUGACUUCCUCCAUUGAAAGAGACAUGACAUCCAAGACUCUGCCUCUGUGGAAAAGGCUCUGUUGGGUCUUGCUUUCUAUAAGCCACACCUGAUCUCAUUUCUGGUCAAAGAAAUGGGCCCAAAUGUGAAGAGACUUAAGGUGUAACCCUGAUCAUGGUCAUGCUUUCUCUGUACACAUAAGGCAUUUAAAUUUUUCAGGGAAAAUUAUUCCAAAGAAGUGAGGAAGAGAAUCCACAAUGGAAAGAAAUCAAGCAAAUAUAAAGGGAGUCAUUGGCGCCAACAAAUUCACACUGGAUGAAACCUCUGGAGGUAAGAAGAAAGCAGAGGCUACUUAACAGUUCUUUAUACCAUAUGGAACAUUGAAUGGCUCCCAGCGCCGAAAAAACACAUGGUUCAAAGAAUGGUACAAGCUACUGAGACACUUACUUAUUAAUGGCACAUACUUAUUCCAGAUGAAUAAUACCUUGCUUGCUAGUAAUACUACAUGCCAUUAUUCUUGAAAGACUUGUCAAACAUAUAUAUCUCCUAAUCUCAAGAUACCCACACUGAAAUUAUUAACAGCUCUAAGUGUAUAAGGGAACUCCAGCCUAUAUGUGUAGGAUGUGGAUAAACUUUUCAUGAUAGUGAGCAAUUUUCUGCACAUCAUCAUGUGGGAAUGAAACAUCACCACAGACUUCAGAAUGGUGCAGAUAACUCACCUAAGACAUGAUGCAAAUCUGUUAUAAAUUCAAAUGCACUACAUAACCAACUUGACAAACUUCAGAAAGCAAAACUGUCAUAUGUAUAGGAAC